GGUUAAGCGACUAAGCGUACACGGUGGAUGCCUAGGCAAUCAGAGGCGAUGAAGGACGUGCUAAUCUGCGAUAAGCGUCGGUAAGGUGAUAUGAACCGUUACAACCGACGAUUUCCGAAUGGGGAAACCCAGUGCAAUUCGUUGCACUAUCGUUUGAUGAAUACAUAGUCAAACGAAGCGAACCGGGGGAACUGAAACAUCUCAGUACCCCGAGGAAAAGAAAUCAACCGAGAUUCCCCUAGUAGCGGCGAGCGAACGGGGAGCAGCCCAGAGUCUUAAUCAGCAUUAGCAUCAGGAGAACGGUCUGGAAAGUCCGGCAGUAAAGGGUGAUAGCCCCGUAUCCGAAGGUGUUAGUGUUGUGAACUCGACGAGUAGGGCGGGACACGUGUUAUCCUGUCUGAAUAUGGGGGGACCAUCCUCCAAGGCUAAAUACUCCUGAUUGACCGAUAGUGAACCAGUACCGUGAGGGAAAGGCGAAAAGAACCCCGGCGAGGGGAGUGAAAUAGAACCUGAAACCGUGUACGUACAAGCAGUGGGAGCCUUGAUUUAUCAGGGUGACUGCGUACCUUUUGUAUAAUGGGUCAGCGACUUAUAUUCUGUAGCAAGGUUAACCGAAUAGGGGAGCCGUAGGGAAACCGAGUCUUAACUGGGCGAAUGAGUUGCAGGGUAUAGACCCGAAACCCGGUGAUCUAGCCAUGGGCAGGUUGAAGGUUGGGUAACACUAACUGGAGGACCGAACCGACUAAUGUUGAAAAAUUAGCGGAUGACUUGUGGCUGGGGGUGAAAGGCCAAUCAAACCGGGAGAUAGCUGGUUCUCCCCGAAAGCUAUUUAGGUAGCGCCUCGUGAACUCAUCUUCGGGGGUAGAGCACUGUUUCGACUAGGGGGUCAUCCCGACUUACCAACUCGAUGCAAACUACGAAUACCGAAGAAUGUUAUCACGGGAGACACACGGCGGGUGCUAACGUUCGUCGUGAAGAGGGAAACAACCCAGACCGCCAGCUAAGGUCCCAAAGUCAUAGUUAAGUGGGAAACGAAGUGGGAAGGCUCAGACAGCCAGGAUGUUGGCUUAGAAGCAGCCAUCAUUUAAAGAAAGCGUAAUAGCUCACUGGUCGAGUCGGCCUGCGCGGAAGAUGUAACGGGGCUAAACUAUGCACCGAAGCUGCGGCAGCGAACGUAUCACUUAAACUGAUUAAGUGAUACUCAAAUGUAUCAAAACGAUUGACGGAGCGAAGCGACGUCAAUGCGUCCAACAAAGUCGAGGCGGAAACGUCAGGCAGUCAGUUUAAGGAUACGUUCGUUGGGUAGGGGAGCGUUCUGUAAGCCUGUGAAGGUGUGCUGUGAGGCAUGCUGGAGGUAUCAGAAGUGCGAAUGCUGACAUAAGUAACGAUAAUGCGGGUGAAAAACCCGCACGCCGGAAGACCAAGGGUUCCUGUCCAACGUUAAUCGGGGCAGGGUGAGUCGACCCCUAAGGCGAGGCAGAAAUGCGUAGUCGAUGGGAAACGGGUUAAUAUUCCCGUACUGGUGAUAAUUGCGAUGGGGGGACGGAGAAGGCUAGGCUAUCCGGGCGACGGUUGUCCCGGUUUAAGGAUGUAGGCAGGUGAAUUAGGCAAAUCCGGUUCACUAUAUGCUGAGGUCCGACGACGAGUCACUACGGUGAUGAAGUAGCUCAUGCCCCGCUUCCAGGAAAAGCCUCUAAGCUCUAGAUUAUCAUUAAUCGUACCCCAAACCGACACAGGUGGUCAGGUAGAGAAUACUCAGGCGCUUGAGAGAACUCGGGUGAAGGAACUAGGCAAAAUGGUGCCGUAACUUCGGGAGAAGGCACGCUGGCAUUAGGUGAAGUGGUUUACCCAUGGAGCUGAAGCCAGUCGCAGAUACCAGCUGGCUGCAACUGUUUAUUAAAAACACAGCACUGUGCAAACACGAAAGUGGACGUAUACGGUGUGACGCCUGCCCGGUGCUGGAAGGUUAAUUGAUGGGGUUAUCCGUAAGGAGAAGCUCUUGAUCGAAGCCCCAGUAAACGGCGGCCGUAACUAUAACGGUCCUAAGGUAGCGAAAUUCCUUGUCGGGUAAGUUCCGACCUGCACGAAUGGCGUAAUGAUGGCCAGGCUGUCUCCACCCGAGACUCAGUGAAAUUGAACUCGCUGUGAAGAUGCAGUGUACCCGCGGCAAGACGGAAAGACCCCGUGAACCUUUACUAUAGCUUGACACUGAACAUUGAGCCUUGAUGUGUAGGAUAGGUGGGAGGCUUUGAAGUGUGGACGCCAGUCUGCAUGGAGCCAACCUUGAAAUACCACCCUUUAAUGUUUGAUGUUCUAACGUUGCCCCAUUAUCUGGGGUGCGGACAGUGUCUGGUGGGUAGUUUGACUGGGGCGGUCUCCUCCCAAAGAGUAACGGAGGAGCACGAAGGUUGGCUAAGCAUGGUCGGACAUCAUGCGGUUAGUGCAAAGGCAUAAGCCAGCUUGACUGCGAGAGUGACGGCUCGAGCAGGUACGAAAGUAGGUCUUAGUGAUCCGGUGGUUCUGAAUGGAAGGGCCAUCGCUCAACGGAUAAAAGGUACUCCGGGGAUAACAGGCUGAUACCGCCCAAGAGUUCAUAUCGACGGCGGUGUUUGGCACCUCGAUGUCGGCUCAUCACAUCCUGGGGCUGAAGUAGGUCCCAAGGGUACGGCUGUUCGCCGUUUAAAGUGGUACGCGAGCUGGGUUUAGAACGUCGUGAGACAGUUCGGUCCCUAUCUGCCGUGGGCGUUGGAAGAUUGAAAGGGGCUGCUCCUAGUACGAGAGGACCGGAGUGGACGCACCACUGGUGUUCGGGUUGUCAUGCCAAUGGCAUUGCCCGGUAGCUAAGUGCGGAAGAGAUAACCGCUGAAAGCAUCUAAGCGGGAAACUUGCCUUGAGAUGAGUCUUCCCUGACUCUUUAAGAGUCCUAAAGGAACGUUUAAGACUAAGACGUUGAUAGGUUGGGUGUGUAAGCGUAGCGAUACGUUGAGCUAACCAAUACUAAUGAACCGUGAGGCUUAACCUG
Molecule: ribosomal RNA, 3022 nt
Filed under: Providencia rettgeri
Lineage: Bacteria; Pseudomonadati; Pseudomonadota; Gammaproteobacteria; Enterobacterales; Morganellaceae
Description: 23S ribosomal RNA
Rfam family: Bacterial large subunit ribosomal RNA
Source: RNAcentral